UACGUAGGGUGCAAGCAUUAACCGGAUUUAUUGGGCGUAAAGGGCGCGUAGGCGGGGAUGUAAGUCAGAUGUGAAAUCCCGGAGCUCAACUUCGGAACAGCAUUUGGAACUACAUCUCUAGAGGGUAGGCGGAGAAAACGGAAUCCCACAAGUAGCGGUGAAAUGCGUAGAUAUGUGGAAGAACACCGGUGGCGAAGGCGGUUUUCUAGCUUACUCCUGACGCUGAGGCGCGAAAGCAAGGGGAUCAAACAGG
Molecule: ribosomal RNA, 253 nt
Filed under: uncultured bacterium
Lineage: Bacteria
Description: partial 16S ribosomal RNA
Rfam family: Bacterial small subunit ribosomal RNA
Source: RNAcentral